Telopea speciosissima is the source of this 1374-nucleotide long non-coding RNA. RefSeq lists it as uncharacterized. The record is from RefSeq and is a predicted model, not a curated record. Lineage: Eukaryota; Viridiplantae; Streptophyta; Magnoliopsida; Proteales; Proteaceae. The transcript is spliced from 2 exons.
CUUGAUUUGUAUGUCAUUUGUUGCAAGUUAUGUUCUCUUGAUACAAUGUUGCCCAACUUUGUAACCCCAAGUAGCUAGAACUUGAGGUAACAUUGGUAUUCAAAGCCAUAUUUCUGUUCUUAUAUUGACUUACGUUUGAUUUGUUGGAUUGAUUGUGUGCAGGCAUCUAUUCCAGUUGCUGUUUUUAGUAUGCUAAUAGGAGUGGGGGCUGGUACAGUAAACAAGAACAGAAAGGCUUUUCUUUGGAGCAUGGUCUGAACAAAUGAUGGAGCAGGUUUUGUUAAACAAUAUUCUGAUCUCGCACUUGAUUCUCUCUACAUUGUAUCUUGAUGGCUAUCCAAAAAUAUUGUUAAAUAUAAUUUUCAUUUGCCCAAUCUUUCUUUUCAUGAACAGUACAUUCUGGUUGGUUGCGAAAUUCUGAGUUACAGAGCAGGUACACUACUAGGUAAACUUAUACGGAAAAGAUGAGAUGACAAAUUUGAAAUGGCUUAAGACCAAUGUAAUGUAGGAUCUUGAUAUAUUCCACAGCAAAGUUGCUCUCCUAAGGCCUGAGUCUCAGCUUCUCCCUUCGGCCGAGGCUGAAUUAUACAUCUUGGAUAUAAUUUUGAUGAACUACAGUGGCUACUGUAACUCUGUUCAUUCUCCAAAUUUCAUAUUUCCAAGACAUUGAAAUCUGUCAGACUCAUUUUUCUAAGGUACCUAAGAUCAAUGCAAAGGGCACUUGAUUCCCAAUACAUGUAGAUUUAUGAUUUUCAGUUUGCAUAAAAUUGACUUGUCCUCCAUCUGUUGAUGAGUGACUAAUUUGUUUUACGGUUUGUAGGUGGGUGGCCGAACAUGGGAAGUUGUCCUUUGUGAGGGAUCACAGAGGGAGUUUUGAGUUGCAAGACUUGCUUAGAGCCUCAGCUGAAGGGUUGGGCUGUGGAUCUUUUUGUGUCUUCUUACAAGGUUGUUCUGACUAUUGGGAAAGCAGUAGUUGUGAAGAGGUUCAGGCAUAUGUACAAAGUGGGCAAGGAAGAUUUUCAAGAGUAAAUGAGCACACUUGGGAAACUGAGAAAAACUUGGGCUCUGGUCCCUUGGUAGUGCAGGUAAUGGGGGAAAGCCUAUUGCUCAGAGCUAGAUGAUGAUUUUGAUCCAAGCAACUUCUGUUGGUGGUUGUUAUCACUCUUACACUCAUGGUCAUCUGUAUCCCACCACCACAGUCGAGAGUUGUUUAUGUAUAUCGCCUAUCCUGAUAUAAAUCUCCUCCAUCCUUCUCAUCUUCUUUCCUUUCAGGACAUCAAUGAAUGUAAUUGUCCACCAUGACUCUGUGAUCAGACAAUUGAAGCUGGUUUUGUUCCUACCAUGGAAGUCUUUUCCAAAGUUUUGGUCUGCAAA